CUUUACCUGUGCAUUGGGAGUGACAAGGCUUGUUUCCUUCCCUGAGAAGUUGAAGAUGUUCAUUAUGUGAGAUGAGACAGCCAGGUUUCAGCCAUCACUCCCACAAGAAACCAAGAAGCACUCCCUCCAAACUUCACAGCCUGCAGUGUCUUUUGCCAUUAGAACGGGGAUUAACGUGGCUAUUCUGGAGUUUGCCAGUCCCAAAGGCGCCUACAGCACAACUCACAAGAAGAAAUAACUGCCCCAAACUAGAGGAAGAAAGUGUUAAAGGGAAACCCAUCUGCCUAACUCCGAACAGAGCUUCUCUUCCCAAAAUUCAGCAUCUCUGCCUGCUUCUGAGUGCACAGUUCCCUGGUCCAUCCUGAGUUCCUGCCAAUUCUGGGAUGAUUUACGAUAACACAGUCCUCAGCUGACUGUGUUCCUCAUGCAAGGGCCUGCAGCCCCACACGGACUUCACAUGGACGCACAAACCCAAGCACAGGCAUGCACACAGCUGACACCACAGCCUCCAACAGUGAACCUUGAACCUACUCGGCCUUUCCAAUGGGAGUGAUUCAGCAGGCACAUCCGAGGCGGGCUCUCCCCACCCCAUCCCUGCAUUGUAGGUCCGCACUUGGAGGAUCUUCAGGAUCCUGCAGCUCAGGCUGUGGCAUUAGGGGGAGGGGGCAGGUAACAGGGAGGGAGAGGAGAUGAAUGGAGACGGGUCUGAAAAAGAAAUCAAUGAAAAGACGGGCUGCAGACGAGGGUCGCCGGCAGCAUAUCCAGCACCUUCAUGGGAAUGAAGAGAAGGCACCUGCUACAGGUAGGUGGAUUGUGCCUGUGGGGACACGUGAGAAAAAGCCUGCCCAGCAGCUCCGUACCGGCGACCAGGGCUUGGCAGAGAUGGGCCGGGCCACAGCCCACAGAUGCCCCUUGUCAGGCACUCUCAUGCGAGAUGGAAUCUGCCAAAGAACGUGCAGACCCAGGCUCUCUCUUCUUUCCUCCCCAGAACAUGGGGGAAGAGAAGAAAAUCGAGAUUUAUUAGUGAAGGAAGAACGCAGUAAAACAAGAGGGAUACAGAGGCAAGGGUUUGAAAGGUAAUGAUUCAAUUUUUCCAAAUCAUGGGACAGUUUCUACAUCUUUUCCAUAAGUGUCCCCUAAUCUGGUGGUCUGGUAGUCUAGUGGUAAAGAUUUGCACUCUCACUGCCACAGCCCGAGUUCAUUGCUGGGUCAGGGAACCACAUCACCCGUCUGUCAGUUGUCAUACUGUGGCAGCUGCGUGUUGCUGUGAUGCUGAAAGCUAUGCCACCAGGAUUUCAAAUACGAGCAGGGUCACCCAUGGUGGACAGAUUUCGGCAGAGCUUCCAGACUAAGACAGACUAGGAAGAAGGACCUGGCCACCCAAUCGCAAAGACAUUGGCCAUGACAACCCUGUGAAUCACAGCAGAGCAGUCUCUGAUACAGUGGCCGGAAGGUGAGAGGAUGGCGCAGAACCCUGGCAGCGUUCCGCUGUGCUAUGCACAGGGUUGCAGGAAUCAACUUGAUGGCACUAACACAGUCUGGUAGUUACAACAUGGCAUGAAAGAGUCAGCCCAGCUCAGGUGCACCACAUCUGUGGAUGAGGGCACACACGGCCGUGUGUUUUUUCCUUCCAGAGGGGAUCCUGGGAGCUGCUUUAUGUGUAUUUUGAGUUGCCUGCAGUCCUGGGAUUGCCAUUGUGUCACCCAGGAAAGCCAUUUUCAAAUUUGUUUUCUUCUCUAUUUCUUCAUCAGGCAGGGGAUUGCUUCUGCUCACAAAGCCACCCGUAACCUCUGCUGCUGGAAAGUUCUCUCAGCGAUUGAGGGCCUCAUUUCCUUCAGAAACUGGUCCCCACCCUGCCCGUCCCCCAGAUCACACACGGUCUUCGCCUCUCCCAGCCUGAAGGAUGUCCUCUCCUGGUUAAUUUCCCAGCAGCCGGCCGAGGCACAGCCUCCCGCGUUUGGACACGAGCUCAGGGCUAUCCUUGCCCAUGCCACCGUCAGCCGGCAGCCAGCUAGGCCGUCUAGUGCACAGGGCAGUGGAAAUUCAGCUGAUGAGUGGAGGAGUUCCAGUAUAAAUUUCCCCUUUCUCGCCGCAAUUUUAUAGAACUUUGCAAAGCGGCACAUCAGCACUUUUGCAAGUUGGGCUUUCUUCUGAAAAGAAUCAAGCCUGUCAAAGCUCUAAAACUUUAUGCUGUUAUUUUUAAUGGUUUGAUCAAUUACCCAGCACAUUUUGUUCCUGUAACCCUAUCCUAUACCAUGAGAAGAGAGUUAGAACUCCAGGGUUUCAGAAAGUCUGCCACGUCAGCCAGAGUUUUAUGUAACCCACCUCCUGUUCAGGGAUCCGCUUUGUACAUUUUCUCCUGCGUUCUGGGAUAUUGACCUCUUUAUUUUAUCCUGACCUCUCAUACUGUUUUUCUUUUUAGUAUAUUGGAGUAUAUUUAAGUUCUGCC
This 2449-nucleotide long non-coding RNA is filed under the name Equus caballus (horse). RNAcentral describes it as "lncRNA (ENSECAG00000043067.2)". The record is from RNAcentral. Lineage: Eukaryota; Metazoa; Chordata; Mammalia; Perissodactyla; Equidae.